GCAAACUUGGUCAUUUAGAGGAAGUAAAAGUCGUAACAAGGUUUCCGUAGGUGAACCUGCGGAAGGAUCAUUAUCGAGUUAGGGUCCUCUGGGCCCGACCUCCACCCCUUUGUCUACCUUACCUCUUGUUGCUUCGGCGGGCCCGUCCACCCCCUGCGAAGGGGAAGACCGCCGGAGGGCUCCUGCCCUCUGGCCCGCGCCUGCCGGUGGCCUCCAAACCAAAUAUUCUUGUCCAAAUUGUGUCGUCUGAGUAAAGAAAUCAAUAAUCAAAAACUUUCAACAACGGAUCUCUUGGUUCUGGCAUCGAUGAAGAACGCAGC
This 320-nucleotide unclassified non-coding RNA is filed under the name uncultured fungus. RNAcentral describes it as "partial contains small subunit ribosomal RNA, internal transcribed spacer 1, and 5.8S ribosomal RNA". The stretch from base 1 to 73 matches the Rfam family "Eukaryotic small subunit ribosomal RNA", at positions 1759 to 1831 of the family's 1831-position model. The record is from RNAcentral. Lineage: Eukaryota; Fungi.